CGAAGGGGGCUAGCGUUGUUCGGAAUUACUGGGCGUAAAGCGCGCGCAGGCGGUCCUUCAAGUCAGAGGUGAAAGCCCAGAGCUCAACUCUGGAAUGGCCUUUGAGACUAGAGGACUUGGGUACGGGAGAGGUGAGUGGAAUUCCGAGUGUAGAGGUGAAAUUCGUAGAUAUUCGGAAGAACACCAGUGGCGAAGGCGGCUCACUGGCCCGUUACCGACGCUCAGGCGCGACAGCGUGGGGAGCAAACAGGAUUAGAUACCCUGGUAGUCCACGCCGUAAACGAUGGAUGCUAGCCGUUGGUAAGCAUGCUUAUCAGUGGCGCAGCUAACGCAUUAAGCAUCCCGCCUGGGGAGUACGGCCGCAAGGUUG
Molecule: ribosomal RNA, 370 nt
Filed under: uncultured organism
Description: bacterial SSU rRNA
Rfam family: Bacterial small subunit ribosomal RNA
Source: RNAcentral